Non-coding RNA from Arachis ipaensis, 688 nucleotides. The record is from RefSeq and is a predicted model, not a curated record. NCBI's taxonomy places the organism in Eukaryota, Viridiplantae, Streptophyta, Magnoliopsida, Fabales, Fabaceae.
ACCAAAUUGAAUGACCGAAAUGCUUUCUUGGUUGUUUGAUGAACCAAGAUUUAAACUAUUGAUUUUUCAUUACCUUUGGUUCAACCGAACCAUACUUCUUCUUUAAACCAAACCACAGCAAUCAGCAAUUCUCCCUCUGAGCACCGCAACAAACUAUGGUUCCACAUCUUCCUAUUAAUGUUGAUGAAGAGAGGAAGUCACGAAGCCUUCCAUCAACAGCCCAGCCCCCUUCUUCUCUUCUGUAUACCACCUUCUUAUUCAUCCCAAACGAAGAAAAGAAAAGGGAGAAGAAGGAAGAACAAGAAGCUGAAUCAUCAUCAUCAUCAUCUUCGGCGCACAUAGGAGAGCAGAAGGAUAAUCGAAGUUAAAGACCCCCAACCAUUCAAUCUCUUCAACGUUCUUCCACUGGUGACCAAACCAUUCAUGAACAAACACUUACAAGAGUAAGAAAUUCUUCUCUUGUUCCAUUUUGAUUCAGCCAUUUGGCCUUGAUGAAGUAACAGAGCCAUGAAUUUGUGAUUGUUAGGGUUUCUGAUUCCAGAUAAGUAGAGGAGCAGAAUUUAGUUUGUGAUUUUCAAAGAAAGGUAAGGGAUAGGAUAGAUAGAAUGCUAUGUUUGCUGCUGUGAUUGAUGAUUCAUUAUAUGCUUGAUUAAUGAAAUGUGUAUUUUGAAUUCUGUUUUGAUAUGAU